This 115-nucleotide ribosomal RNA is filed under the name archaeon. The record is from RNAcentral.
UCUGAGGGCCACAGGCCGCAGGAAACACCCGUUCCCAUCCCGAACACGGUAGUUAAGCUGCGGAGCGUUGGGGAGUGUACUGGCUUUCAGUCGGGAAAUCUCCGAGUUCUCAGGG